This 242-nucleotide long non-coding RNA is filed under the name Fragaria vesca (wild strawberry). RNAcentral's name for it is "long non-coding RNA (FVES_LNC001483)". Lineage: Eukaryota; Viridiplantae; Streptophyta; Magnoliopsida; Rosales; Rosaceae. The record is from RNAcentral.
CUUCAUCAACGACAUCUUCGAGAAGCUCGCUCAGGAGUCGUCGAGGCUUGCGAGGUACAACAAGAAGCCGACGAUUACUUCGAGGGAGAUCCAGACGGCGGUGAGGCUUGUGCUUCCUGGUGAGCUGGCCAAGCACGCUGUGUCGGAGGGGACCAAGGCGGUGACCAAGUUUACGAGCUCUUGAAGGAUCUAGGGGUUGCGCCGAGUGGGUUCUGUUUGGCUUGGCUAUGCGUGGUUCUUAG